UUCAGUCUGGGCUCCCAGCACGCUCUGGAGACUGGUUUAAGAGAAAUCACGUGGUGUGUACCCCGCCUCUGCGGGGGCGGGCGGCGGAGGUCUAGGGCUCGGUUCUGGUCACGCUGUGGGGGAGAAGUGCAGUCUUCUGCUUCGGCUCCCACUGGCGCUCCUCCCAGCUGCUGUUGUAGCGCCCCGUCUUCAGUCCUGUGGCUCUGCCCUGCGUUCUUCUGCUCCCUGAUCCUGCAUGCAAAAUGGGACCUUUCGCCCCAACGCUGCUGAUGCUGCUGCCCCCACUGCUGAUGCUGGUCCUGUACGGCUGCUGGCAAGCAAGAGGCUGGGCCGGACAUCAGUAUGAGCAUCACCGCGGACCUGGGGAACAGAAUGCAGCAUAUUUCCAGGCUAUGAGAUUCAAUGCCAACAUGUCUUUCCACGCCCAAAUGGUUAUCAAUGAAGGUGAGGCUUUCCGUGAAGGGCAAAGGACCAUCCCGGCUGUGGAGAGGCCGGGGAAUGCUCUGAGGCAGAGAUCAUGAAGGUGACAUUUCCCCGUAUGGAUACCAACACCGUGGGCACCUCUCGCCUUUCUUGAGAUCGACGGCUUAAAUUGGUUUUGAAUACCACGGUGAUACUAUAAAUUACCCUUUGUCCUGCUCAGUUAUUGAUUUAGCCCUUUUCUGUGCUCUCGUCAC
This is a long non-coding RNA of Neogale vison (American mink), 677 nucleotides long. RefSeq lists it as uncharacterized. The record is from RefSeq and is a predicted model, not a curated record. Lineage: Eukaryota; Metazoa; Chordata; Mammalia; Carnivora; Mustelidae. The transcript is spliced from 3 exons.